AUGCCCUGGGGUCGCCACAGGGAAGAUCCGGGUCAUCUUGUUCAACAGGAGAGACUAUCUCUGUCAUUUGUGGAAAGGGAGCCAUAUCACCUAUUGAUGGGCUGUGUCAUACUGUCUGUAACUGUGCUGGAUUAUUCCUCUAUUGACUACCAACUACCUAGGAAAUGGGUCUCACAUGUGGUGGUGAUGUUUGCCAAGAAUGAUUGCAAAUGGGAUUGCAUCCAAACUGGUCAACCCAGAAGAGCGGGAAGCUGGCCUGAGACUGGCAAAAUAAAAAGGACAAGAUCCUCCAAUGAUUUGAAGAAAGGAUUGAAAGUGCAAUGGAGAACAGCUGUGUCAUGCUGUGGCUAGAACAUGCUCAGCACAGGGUUUGGGCUAUUCAGAACUGUUAUCAACCUAUGUUAAAGUAAGAGAUAGAGAUCUUCUGGACCAGCCUCUCCCCCUCCUAUGGAUAUACUCAGAGCUCCUGGCUUCCAGAACACCAUCGUUUCCCAUCCUCUGUGAUGUAUAAUGCUCCUUAUGUUCUUGUGUACAAGCCUGUGAAAAGCCUCAGAGAUCCACUGGCCAAAUGCUGAGGGACAAAUAUGAGAGUUCCUUCCUUGGACUCAAAGAUGGAGGUCCAUUUCCCCACUUUGAUCAGUUGUUUUUACUUCUUCCUUCUGGAAUUAAUUAAGAAUCAUCCUGCCUUAUUCUAUCUUCAUUAUUCCCUCAAAUGAUAUAAUAAGAUGUUCCCUCAAGCAGAGGGAUUCUUGUGUGCAGUCUUAGAUCCAGCAGUUUGGAGACCAGCAGAAUUGAUUAAGCUUAGCAUUGGAGAUUGGAUUAGACAGAAGUCUUACUACCUUAUCAACAAAAUGUAAAAUAAAUAAUUUUGACUACAUCA
Molecule: long non-coding RNA, 880 nt
Filed under: Monodelphis domestica (gray short-tailed opossum)
Lineage: Eukaryota; Metazoa; Chordata; Mammalia; Didelphimorphia; Didelphidae
Description: lncRNA (ENSMODG00000030352.2)
Source: RNAcentral